ACUCGUAAAGAGGAUUUCCUAGUGGCGAACGGGUGAGUAACGCGUUGGUGACCUGCCCCAAAGAGAGGAAUAACAGUUCGAAAGAACUGCUAAUACCUCAUGUGGUCAUGAGACUUAGAACCUCAUGUCUAAAGGAGUAAUCCACUUUGGGAGGGGCCUGCGUCCCAUCAGCUAGUUGGUAGGGUAACGGCCUACCAAGGCAACGACGGGUAGGGGACCUGAGAGGGUGGCCCCCCACACUGGAACUGAAACACGGUCCAGACACCUACGGGUGGCAGCAGUAGGGAAUAUUGCACAAUGGGCGAAAGCCUGAUGCAGCAACGCCGCGUGUGCGAUGAAGGCCUUCGGGUCGUAAAGCACUUUUUGGGAGGAUGAGAAAGGACAGUACUCCCAGAAUAAGUCUCGGCUAACUAUGUGCCAGCAGCCGCGGUAAUACAUAGGAGGCGAGCGUUAUCCGGAUUUACUGGGCGUAAAGCGCGUGCAGGUGGUUUAGUAAGUUGGAUGUGAAAUCUCCCGGCUCAACUGGGAUAGGUCGUUCAAAACUGCUAGACUAGAGGACGGUAGAGGAAGGUGGAAUUCCCGGUGUAGUGGUGAAAUGCGUAGAUAUCGGGAGGAACACCAGUGGCGAAAGCGGCCUUCUGGCCCGUUCCUGACACUAAGACGCCAAAGCUAUGGUAGCAAACAGGAUUAGAGACCCUGGUAGUCCUAGCCGUAAACGAUGUCAACUAUGCGUUGGUGGGUUAAUAGCCAUCAUUGCCGCAGCUAACGCGAUAAGUUGACCGCCUGGGGACUACGAUCGCAAGAUUAAAACUCAAAGGAAUUGACGGGGCCCCGCACAAUCAGCGGAGCGUGUGGUUUAAUUCGAUGCAACGCGAAGAACCUUACCUGGUCUUGACAUCUCAAGGAUCUCCUGGAAACAGGAGAGUGCUUUCUUUCGAGAGAACUUGAAGACAGGUGCUGCAUGGCUGUCAUCACCUCGUGUCUUGAGAUGUUGGGUUAAGUCCCGCAACGAGCGCAACCCUCGCCAUUAGUUGCCAUCAUUUAGUUGGGCACUCUAAUGGGACUGCCGGGUCAAACCGGAGGAAGGUGGGGAUGACGUCAAGUCCUCAUGGCCUUUAUGACCAGGGCUACACACGUACUACAAUGGCCGGUACAAAGGGCAGCCACAGGGCAACCUGGAGCAAAUCCCUUAAGCCGGUCU
RNAcentral lists this ribosomal RNA (1201 nucleotides) under uncultured bacterium. Its description in RNAcentral is "bacterial SSU rRNA". It matches the Rfam family "Bacterial small subunit ribosomal RNA", at positions 73 to 1288 of the family's 1533-position model. The record is from RNAcentral.